This 139-nucleotide ribosomal RNA is filed under the name uncultured bacterium. RNAcentral's name for it is "partial 16S ribosomal RNA". It matches the Rfam family "Bacterial small subunit ribosomal RNA", at positions 355 to 509 of the family's 1533-position model. The record is from RNAcentral.
UGGGGGAUAUUGCACAAUGGGGGGGAACCCGUGAUGCAGCGACGCCGCGUGGGUGAAGGAGCGUUUCGGCGCGUAAAGCCCUAUCGGCAGGGAAGAAGAUGACGGUACCUGACCAAGAAGCCCCGGCUAACUACGUGCC